RNAcentral lists this ribosomal RNA (1476 nucleotides) under Segatella copri. RNAcentral describes it as "partial 23S ribosomal RNA". It matches the Rfam family "Bacterial large subunit ribosomal RNA", at positions 964 to 2440 of the family's 2925-position model. Lineage: Bacteria; Pseudomonadati; Bacteroidota; Bacteroidia; Bacteroidales; Prevotellaceae. The record is from RNAcentral.
CGCAGAGUACAGCUUGGGAGACAGAGCACCGGGUGCUAACGUCCGGACUCAAGAGGGAAACAACCCAGACCGCCAGCUAAGGUCCCUAAAAUUGGCUAAGUGGGAAACGAAGUGGGAAGGCUAAAACAGUCAGGAUGUUGGCUUAGAAGCAGCCAUCAUUUAAAGAAAGCGUAAUAGCUCACUGAUCGAGUCGUCCUGCGCGGAAGAUGUAACGGGGCUAAGCCAGUUACCGAAGCUGCGGAUUUGCAAUUUAUUGCAAGUGGUAGGAGAGCGUUCUGUAAGCCUGUGAAGGUGCCUGGUAACGGGUGCUGGAGGUAUCAGAAGUGCGAAUGCUGACAUGAGUAGCGUUAAAGGGGGUGAAAAGCCCCCUCGCCGUAAGCGCAAGGUUUCCUACGCAACGUUCAUCGGCGUAGGGUGAGUCGGCCCCUAAGGCGAGGCAGAGAUGCGUAGCUGAUGGGAAACAGGUCAAUAUUCCUGUACCGAUGUGUAGUGCGAUGUGGGGACGGAGAAGGUUAGCUCAGCCAACUGUUGGAUAUGUUGGUUCAAGCCUGUAGUCGUGCCUGGUAGGCAAAUCCGCCGGGCUUAGAUGAGGGGUGAUAACGAGUCUGCUUGCAGACGAAGUGAGUGAUACCCUGCUUCCAGGAAAAGCCACUAAGCUUCAGCUACACACGACCGUACCGCAAACCGACACUGGUGCGCGAGAUGAGUAUUCUAAGGCGCUUGAGAGAACUCUGGAGAAGGAACUCGGCAAAUUGAUACCGUAACUUCGGGAGAAGGUAUGCCGCAAGUAGGUGAACUUGAACAAAGGGAGCCCAAAGCGGUUGCAAAAAAUCGGUGGCUGCGACUGUUUAAUAAAAACACAGCACUCUGCAAACACGAAAGUGGACGUAUAGGGUGUGACGCCUGCCCGGUGCUGGAAGAUUAAAUGAUGGGGUGCAAGCUCUUGAUUGAAGUCCCAGUAAACGGCGGCCGUAACUAUAACGGUCCUAAGGUAGCGAAAUUCCUUGUCGGGUAAGUUCCGACCUGCACGAAUGGCGUAACGAUGGCCACACUGUCUCCUCCAGAGACUCAGCGAAGUUGAAAUGUUUGUGAUGAUGCAAUCUCCCCGCGGAAAGACGGAAAGACCCCAUGAACCUUUACUGUAGCUUUGUAUUGGAUUUUGAACGGAUCUGUGUAGGAUAGGUGGGAGGCUUUGAAGUGAGGACGCUAGUUCUCAUGGAGCCGACGUUGAAAUACCACCCUGGUGCGUUUGAGGUUCUAACCCAGGUCCCUUAUCGGGAUCGGGGACAGUGCAUGGUAGGCAGUUUGACUGGGGCGGUCUCCUCCCAAAGCGUAACGGAGGAGUUCGAAGGUACGCUAGUUACGGUCGGACAUCGUGACGAUAGUGCAAUGGCAUAAGCGUGCUUAACUGCGAGACUGACAAGUCGAGCAGAUGCGAAAGCAGGACAUAGUGAUCCGGUGGUUCUGUAUGGAAGG